GACGAACGCUGGCGGCGUGCUUAACACAUGCAAGUCGAACGGAAAGGCCCUGCUUUUGUGGGGUGCUCGAGUGGCGAACGGGUGAGUAACACGUGAGUAACCUGCCCUUGACUUUGGGAUAACUUCAGGAAACUGGGGCUAAUACAGGAUAGGAGCUCCUGCUGCAUGGUGGGGGUUGGAAAGUCUCGGCGGUCGGGGAUGGACUCGCGGCUUAUCAGCUUGUUGGUGGGGGAGUGGCUUACCAAGGCAUUGACGGGUAGCCGGCCUGAGAGGGUGACCGGCCACAUUGGGACUGAGAUACGGCCCAGACUCCUACGGGAGGCAGCAGUGGGGAAUAUUGCACAAUGGGCGGAAGCCUGAUGCAGCAACGCCGCGUGCGGGAUGACGGCCUUCGGGUUGUAAACCGCUUUCGCCUGUGACGAAGCGUGAGUGACGGUAAUGGAUAAAGAAGCACCGGCUAACUACGUG
This 468-nucleotide ribosomal RNA is filed under the name uncultured bacterium. RNAcentral describes it as "partial 16S ribosomal RNA". It matches the Rfam family "Bacterial small subunit ribosomal RNA", at positions 28 to 507 of the family's 1533-position model. The record is from RNAcentral.